RNAcentral lists this transfer RNA (87 nucleotides) under Pseudonocardiales bacterium. RNAcentral's name for it is "tRNA-Ser". It matches the Rfam family "tRNA". Rfam says of the family: Transfer RNA (tRNA) molecules are approximately 80 nucleotides in length. Their secondary structure includes four short double-helical elements and three loops (D, anti-codon, and T loops). Lineage: Bacteria; Bacillati; Actinomycetota; Actinomycetes; Pseudonocardiales. The record is from RNAcentral.
GGAGGAUUCGCCUAGUGGCCUAUGGCGCACGAUUGGAAAUCGUGUUGGGUGUGAAAGCCCUCGCGGGUUCAAAUCCCGCAUCCUCCG